This 442-nucleotide ribosomal RNA is filed under the name Streptococcus anginosus. RNAcentral's name for it is "bacterial SSU rRNA". It matches the Rfam family "Bacterial small subunit ribosomal RNA", at positions 28 to 452 of the family's 1533-position model. Lineage: Bacteria; Bacillati; Bacillota; Bacilli; Lactobacillales; Streptococcaceae. The record is from RNAcentral.
GACGAACGCUGGCGGCGUGCCUAAUACAUGCAAGUAGGACGCACAGCCUAUACCGUAGCUUGCUACACCAUAGGCUGUGAGUUGCGAACGGGUGAGUAACGCGUAGGUAACCUGCCUAUUAGAGGGGGAUAACUAUUGGAAACGAUAGCUAAUACCGCAUAACAGUAUGUAACACAUGUUAGAUGCUUGAAAGAUGCAAUUGCAUCGCUAGUAGAUGGACCUGCGUUGUAUUAGCUAGUAGGUAGGGUAAUGGCCUACCUAGGCAACGAUACAUAGCCGACCUGAGAGGGUGAUCGGCCACACUGGGACUGAGACACGGCCCAGACUCCUACGGGAGGCAGCAGUAGGGAAUCUUCGGCAAUGGGGGGAACCCUGACCGAGCAACGCCGCGUGAGUGAAGAAGGUUUUCGGAUCGUAAAGCUCUGUUGUUAAGGAAGAACGA